UAAAAAAUUAAAAAAAAAAUCUAAUGCAGUUAGGUGGCCUGGGCAGGGGAUUAGCUGGAGCCCCUGGUACAGGUGCAGACCACCUUUUUGCCCUGUUGCCAUGCUCUGGUGAGCCAGCUCGGUGGCUUCUGGAUAGCCUUCCUCAGAGCCUUGAAACUGGCGCAGGGCUGUGAGGCCUGGGUGGGCUCCGGUCCGUCCCUCGGUUUGUCCUUGGGCUGCUCUGUGGCGACCCCGGCGGCUUCCGGAGGCUGGCAGCGGACCCACCCGAACCGCCAGGCAUCCCAGGCCUCUAAUUUUUUUAACAUAACUUCGGCCAGGGUUCUGGGCUCCCCUAAGGUGUCCCGAACCUUAACCCGCAGUGGCGGCUCCUGUGUUUUCUGGCAUUUGCACAGCCUUCGGGGCUGUGGCUGCUCUUGGGGGAGCUGCUGCCAUUUUGAAUGGUGGUGGUGGUGUUUUGAAUGGUGGUGGUGCCCCUUGGAAUGGCGCCUCUCUUGGGGGCCCUCUUGGGGCUGCGGCUGCAUCUGGUCUUGGGGGAGCUCCUGGGGCUGCGGCUGGUCUUGGGGGAGCUCCUGGGGCUGCGGCUGGUCUUGGGGGAGCUCCUGGGGCUGCGGCUGGUCUUGGGGGAGCUCCUGGGGCUGCGGCUGGUCUUGGGGGAGCUCCUGGGGCUGCGGCUGGUCUUGGGGGAGCUCCUGGGGCUGCGGCUGGUCUUGGGGGAGCUCCUGGGGCUGCGGCUGGUCUUGGGGGAGCUCCUGGGGCUGCGGCUGCUCUUGGGGGAGCUCCUGGGGCUGCGGCUGCUCUUGGGGGAGCGGCAGCUUGUUGGCAGUGCCCGGCUCCUUGGGGUGCUCUUGGGAGGGUGGCCUGGAGGGCCCUGAAGAGGACGUCUCCGCUGGUGAGGCAGCCUGGCAAGGGCAGGGGGGAGGAGUCACGCCGGGCCUCUGGGCCGGGCCCAGCUGGCCUGACAGUCAGUCCCAGCCUCCCUAGUACCUUAGACAGGUGAGACCCGGAAAUUGUGGAGAACAGAGUCCGGAUGGUGACUCUCAGCUGCCCUGGCGGGAUUCGGGACCGGGUUAGGCCUCUGGAAGAGCCCCGAGCCAGAGAGCAGGGGAGCAGGGGGGAGGGAGGCGUCCUUUACCUUCCACUUCCACUAGGCUCCCCGGGGUGCUCCUCCCGAAAAGUCUGGGCUCUGAUCUAAGGAAGCAACCCACCGCACUCUGGCCUGCUGGGUGUCCAGGACCAGCCCUCCCUCUCCUCCAGGCCCUUGUGCCCGCCCCCGCCCCCGCCCCUUCCUCCCCUCCCCUCCCCCCUCCCANNNNNNNNNNNNNNNNNNNNNNNNNNNNNNNNNNNNNNNNNNNNNNNNNNNNNNNNNNNNNNNN
This 1373-nucleotide long non-coding RNA is filed under the name Monodelphis domestica (gray short-tailed opossum). RNAcentral describes it as "lncRNA (ENSMODG00000048645.1)". Lineage: Eukaryota; Metazoa; Chordata; Mammalia; Didelphimorphia; Didelphidae. The record is from RNAcentral.